Molecule: long non-coding RNA, 848 nt
Organism: Drosophila virilis
Lineage: Eukaryota; Metazoa; Arthropoda; Insecta; Diptera; Drosophilidae
Source: RefSeq, a predicted model, not a curated record
CCUGAUUUUUCCUCGUUUCUUUCUUUUUUUUUUUCUUUUUGUUUAUGCCGCCUGGCUGACAAAAUUGCAGCCUGAAAGUUUGUCUAACCAAAACGCACAACGAGCCACAGCAGUCCCUUCCGAGCCGCACCCUCGCCCGCAACCAUCUUUUGCUAGCUUCAACUGUUUGCAUACGUGCCCAAUGUGCAAUUGCCUGGGCGCUUCCCAAUCAUUGGCCGUCUUUGCCGCAUUCUAGUUUGGCAUUUGGGUUUGUUGAGUGUGCAACAUCAGCUGCCACUGCCGCUGCUGCUGCUGCUGCUGUUGCAACAGCAAACAGCUUGAGUUGGCAGCACAACAAUUUCUUACCUUGCAGCCGCACGGAAAUUGAAGUGUGAAAUCUGCGGCAACUCUCUCUGACUGCAGGAUUAGUCGAAGCCUGCACUCGUAUGCCCCCGUGCCAAGCUCCACGCAGCAAUUGUUGUUGCGGCCCGCGUGAUUUUUGAGUGUUUGAUCGCCAGACAGGCGUCAGAUUAUGCCAGCCCAAAAACCCUAAAGUGCAAAAAAAAAACGUGAAACCUAAAAAAAAGGAAAAUGGAAACAUUUGCGCACCAAGUGGGAAUCAGGCGCAGACGAAGGAGCCUUCAAAUGUCUCGUAUGCAGCCGGCGGCAAAUCCUGUGGGUCUACCAGUUGUUUACUUUGCAACGCGGCAUUGCGGUGGGUUAGGCAAAUGCAACUGGAGCGAUCCACAGAAUAUAAAACAGACGACUAUCAAAUCCCCUACACACUACGUUCUCUCGUAAGCUCGAAAAAUAUAUCAAUAAAACUUACAAAUGAAGCCUCUGAGAACAUAUUAGACAAACGGCUCUUA